RNAcentral lists this unclassified non-coding RNA (417 nucleotides) under Hevea brasiliensis (rubber tree). The record is from RNAcentral. Lineage: Eukaryota; Viridiplantae; Streptophyta; Magnoliopsida; Malpighiales; Euphorbiaceae.
AAGGCAAGUCAAGGCUUCAAUGCUUAUGGAUUCUGAAAGAUGUUCUUGGUACCAACCUUCUAGCUUGGAGGAGCUUCAGAGCUUAUUAAAAUGCCCUGAUGCCAACAAUGGAGUCCGGAUGAAACUGGUGGUUGGUAACACUGGCAUGGGCUAUUAUAAGGAAUUAGAACCCUAUGACAGAUACAUCGAUCUCAGGUAUAUUCCUGAACUGUCAACGAUUAGGAGAGAUCAAAAUGGUAUUGAAACUGGGGCAGCUGUCACUAUUUCUAAAGUUAUUGAAGCUUUGAGAGAAGAAAUUAAAGAUGAAUUUAUCUCAGCAAGUAAGCUGGUGUUCGAAAAAAUUGCAGACCAUAUGGAUAAAGUUGCUUCCAAAUUUAUAAGAAAUACAGGCAGUAUUGGGGGAAAUUUGGUGAUGGC